Molecule: ribosomal RNA, 427 nt
Filed under: uncultured bacterium
Lineage: Bacteria
Description: bacterial SSU rRNA
Rfam family: Bacterial small subunit ribosomal RNA
Source: RNAcentral
UGGGGAAUUUUGGACAAUGGACGAAAGCCUGAUCCAGCAAUGCCGCGUGUGUGAAGAAGGCCUUCGGGUUGUAAAGCACUUUUGUCCGGAAAGAAAUCCUCUGGGUUAAUACCUCGGGGGGAUGACGGUACCGGAAGAAUAAGCACCGGCUAACUACGUGCCAGCAGCCGCGGUAAUACGUAGGGAGCAAGCGUUGUUCGGAUUUACUGGGCGUAAAGGGCGCGUAGGCGGCGCGGUAAGUCACUUGUGAAAUCUCUGAGCUUAACUCAGAACGGCCAAGUGAUACUGCUGUGCUAGAGUGCGGAAGAGGCAACCGGAAUUCUUGGUGUAGCGGUGAAAUGCGUAGAUAUCAAGAGGAACACCUGAGGCGAAGGCGGGUUGCUGGGCCGACACUGACGCUGAUGCGCGAAAGCCAGGGGAGCAAACG